RNAcentral lists this ribosomal RNA (1012 nucleotides) under Hamigera pallida. RNAcentral's name for it is "SSU rRNA". It matches the Rfam family "Eukaryotic small subunit ribosomal RNA", at positions 85 to 1106 of the family's 1831-position model. Lineage: Eukaryota; Fungi; Ascomycota; Eurotiomycetes; Eurotiales; Aspergillaceae. The record is from RNAcentral. RNAcentral also lists the same sequence under 2 other names.
AACUGCGAAUGGCUCAUUAAAUCAGUUAUCGUUUAUUUGAUAGUACCUUACUACAUGGAUACCUGUGGUAAUUCUAGAGCUAAUACAUGCUGAAAACCCCGACUUCGGAAGGGGUGUAUUUAUUAGAUAAAAAACCAACGCCCUUCGGGGCUCCUUGGUGAUUCAUAAUAACUUAACGAAUCGCAUGGCCUUGCGCCGGCGAUGGUUCAUUCAAAUUUCUGCCCUAUCAACUUUCGAUGGUAGGAUAGUGGCCUACCAUGGUGGCAACGGGUAACGGGGAAUUAGGGUUCGAUUCCGGAGAGGGAGCCUGAGAAACGGCUACCACAUCCAAGGAAGGCAGCAGGCGCGCAAAUUACCCAAUCCCGAUACGGGGAGGUAGUGACAAUAAAUACUGAUACGGGGCUCUUUUGGGUCUCGUAAUUGGAAUGAGUACAAUCUAAAUCCCUUAACGAGGAACAAUUGGAGGGCAAGUCUGGUGCCAGCAGCCGCGGUAAUUCCAGCUCCAAUAGCGUAUAUUAAAGUUGUUGCAGUUAAAAAGCUCGUAGUUGAACCUUGGGUCUGGCUGGCCGGUCCGCCUCACCGCGAGUACUGGUCCGGCUGGACCUUUCCUUCUGGGGAACCCCAUGGCCUUCACUGGCCGUGGGGGGAACCAGGACUUUUACUGUGAAAAAAUUAGAGUGUUCAAAGCAGGCCUUUGCUCGAAUACAUUAGCAUGGAAUAAUAGAAUAGGACGUGCGGUUCUAUUUUGUUGGUUUCUAGGACCGCCGUAAUGAUUAAUAGGGAUAGUCGGGGGCGUCAGUAUUCAGCUGUCAGAGGUGAAAUUCUUGGAUUUGCUGAAGACUAACUACUGCGAAAGCAUUCGCCAAGGAUGUUUUCAUUAAUCAGGGAACGAAAGUUAGGGGAUCGAAGACGAUCAGAUACCGUCGUAGUCUUAACCAUAAACUAUGCCGACUAGGGAUCGGACGGUGUUUCUUUUAUGACCCGUUCGGCACCUUACGAGAAAUCAAAGUUU